ACGAACGCUGGCGGCGUGCCUAAUACAUGCAAGUCGAGCGAGCUUGCCUAGAUGAAUUUGGUGCUUGCACCAGAUGAAACUAGAUACAAGCGAGCGGCGGACGGGUGAGUAACACGUGGGUAACCUGCCCAAGAGACUGGGAUAACACCUGGAAACAGAUGCUAAUACCGGAUAACAACACUAGACGCAUGUCUAGAGUUUAAAAGAUGGUUCUGCUAUCACUCUUGGAUGGACCUGCGGUGCAUUAGCUAGUUGGUAAGGUAACGGCUUACCAAGGCAAUGAUGCAUAGCCGAGUUGAGAGACUGAUCGGCCACAUUGGGACUGAGACACGGCCCAAACUCCUACGGGAGGCAGCAGUAGGGAAUCUUCCACAAUGGACGCAAGUCUGAUGGAGCAACGCCGCGUGAGUGAAGAAGGGUUUCGGCUCGUAAAGCUCUGUUGGUAGUGAAGAAAGAUAGAGGUAGUAACUGGCCUUUAUUU
This 481-nucleotide ribosomal RNA is filed under the name Lactobacillus gasseri. RNAcentral describes it as "bacterial SSU rRNA". It matches the Rfam family "Bacterial small subunit ribosomal RNA", at positions 29 to 480 of the family's 1533-position model. The record is from RNAcentral. Lineage: Bacteria; Bacillati; Bacillota; Bacilli; Lactobacillales; Lactobacillaceae.